RNAcentral lists this ribosomal RNA (468 nucleotides) under uncultured bacterium. RNAcentral's name for it is "partial 16S ribosomal RNA". It matches the Rfam family "Bacterial small subunit ribosomal RNA", at positions 28 to 507 of the family's 1533-position model. The record is from RNAcentral.
GACGAACGCUGGCGGCGUGCUUAACACAUGCAAGUCGAACGGAAAGGCCCUGCUUUUGUGGGGUGCUCGAGUGGCGAACGGGUGAGUAACACGUGAGUAACCUGCCCUUGACUUUGGGAUAACUUCAGGAAACUGGGGCUAAUACCGGAUAGGAGCUCCUGCUGCAUGGUGGGGGUUAGAAAGUUUCGGCGGUUGGGGAUGGACUCGCGGCUUAUCAGCUUGUUGGUGGGGUAGUGGCUUACCAAGGCUUUGACGGGUAGACGGCCUGAGAGGGUGACCGGCCACAUUGGGACUGAGAUACGGCCCAGACUCCUACGGGAGGCAGCAGUGGGGAAUAUUGCACAAUGGGCGGAAGCCUGAUGCAGCAACGCCGCGUGCGGGAUGACGGCCUUCGGGUUGUAAACCGCUUUCGCCUGUGACGAAGCGUGAGUGACGGUAAUGGGUAAAGAAGCACCGGCUAACUACGUG